RNAcentral lists this ribosomal RNA (305 nucleotides) under uncultured bacterium. RNAcentral describes it as "bacterial SSU rRNA". It matches the Rfam family "Bacterial small subunit ribosomal RNA", at positions 338 to 660 of the family's 1533-position model. The record is from RNAcentral.
CCUACGGGGCGCAGCAGUGGGGAAUAUUGCACAAUGGGGGAAACCCUGAUGCAGCGACGCCGCGUGAGUGAAGAAGUAUUUCGGUAUGUAAAGCUCUAUCAGCAGGGAAGAUAAUGACGGUACCUGACUAAGAAGCCCCGGCUAACUACGUGCCAGCAGCCGCGGUAAUACGUAGGGGGCAAGCGUUAUCCGGAUUUACUGGGUGUAAAGGGAGCGUAGGUGGCAGGGCAAGUCAGAUGUGAAAACCCGGGGCUCAACUCCGGGAGUGCAUUUGAAACUGUCCAGCUAGAGUGCAGGAGAGGUAA